CAAUGUGCCAGGCUCUGUCCUAAGCACUGUAACAGUCCUUCAAUUCUCGCCACAUUUCUGGGAGAUGUGCUCCAGUUAUUCAGAUCAUCAUAUUUCAGAUGAGAAGAUGGCAGCAGACAAGGUGCUGAGACCCAGCACCUGCACAUGCUAGGCAAGAGCAACUCCCAGCCCAAGACCUUACUACAGCUCUUUCAGGUUUCUGGCCUUCUGCAAUCACCUGUGAUCUCUGGCUUCUAAUCCCAUGGUUUGGUUUCUGGGAGAAUCUAGCUUCCUGCAGUUUAGUUAGCCCCUGCUCUCCUUCAGUUCCAGAGGAACCUGGUUCAAUCACAUUAAUGGAGCAUGUCUCCACUGAGUGUACUGUGGUAGUCAGUGUCAAACUAUUCCCAGAUGAACUCUUCAUCAAUGCUCAAGUCUCCCUGGAAAGAUAUCAUGGGCAUGAGUGGAGGAGAAAUGAUGAAACCCUCCUUGCUUUCCUCUUUCAUGUAAGGAAGACAUUUGAUCA
Octodon degus (degu) is the source of this 502-nucleotide long non-coding RNA. RefSeq lists it as uncharacterized. The record is from RefSeq and is a predicted model, not a curated record. The transcript is spliced from 2 exons. NCBI's taxonomy places the organism in Eukaryota, Metazoa, Chordata, Mammalia, Rodentia, Octodontidae.